This 449-nucleotide ribosomal RNA is filed under the name uncultured soil bacterium. Its description in RNAcentral is "bacterial SSU rRNA". It matches the Rfam family "Bacterial small subunit ribosomal RNA", at positions 26 to 518 of the family's 1533-position model. The record is from RNAcentral.
AGAGCGAACGCUGGCGGCAGGCCUAACACAUGCAAGUCGAACGGACUCUUCGGAGUUAGUGGCGGACGGGUGAGUAACACGUGGGAACGUGCCUUUAGGUUCGGAAUAGCUCCUGGAAACGGGUGGUAAUACCGAAUGUGCCCUUCGGGGGAAAGAUUUAUCGCCUUUAGAGCGGCCCGCGUCUGAUUAGCUUGUUGGUGAGGUAAUGGCUCACCAAGGCUACGAUCAGUAGCUGGUCUAGAGAGGAUGACCAGCCACAUUGGGACUGAGACACGGCCCAAACUCCUACGGGAGGCAGCAGUGGGAAUCUUGCGCAAUGGGCGAAAGCCUGACGCAGCCAUGCCGCGUGUAUGAUGAAGUCUUAGGAUUAGUAAAAUACUUUCACCGGUGAAGAUAAAUGACUGUAGCCGGAAGAAGAAGACCCCGGCUAACUCGUGCCAGCAGCCGAC